AGCAGUCGCGGUAAUUCCAGCUCCAAUAGCGUAUAUUAAAGUUGUUGCAGUUAAAAAGCUCGUAGUUGAAUUUCGGGACCAAUUUGUUGGUCGUGCCUCGGUACGUACUGGUAUUAUUGGUUUCUCCCUUCUGAAGAACCUUGAUGUCAUUAAUUUGGUGUCUUGGGGAAUCAGGACUGUUACUUUGAAAAAAUUAGAGUGUUUAAAGCAGGCAUACGCUUGAAUACAUUAGCAUGGAAUAAUGAAAUAGGACGAUGGUUCUAUUUUGUUGGUUUCCGGGACCGUCGUAAUGAUUAAUAGGGAUAGUUGGGGGCAUUCGUAUUCAAUUGUCAGAGGUGAAAUUCUUGGAUUUAUUGAAGACUAACUACUGCGAAAGCAUUUGCCAAGGAUGUUUUCAUUAAUCAAGAACGAAAGUUAGGGGAUCGAAGACGAUCAGAUACCGUCGUAGUCUUAACCAUAAACUAUGCCGACUAGGGAUCGGAUGAUGUUAUUUUUAAUGACUCAUUC
Molecule: ribosomal RNA, 507 nt
Filed under: uncultured Glomus
Lineage: Eukaryota; Fungi; Glomeromycota; Glomeromycetes; Glomerales; Glomeraceae
Description: SSU rRNA
Rfam family: Eukaryotic small subunit ribosomal RNA
Source: RNAcentral